UAGAGUUUGAUCCUGGCUCAGAUUGAACGCUGGCGGCAGGCUUAACACAUGCAAGUCGAACGGUAACAGGAAGCAGCUUGCUGCUUUGCUGACGAGUGGCGGACGGGUGAGUAAUGUCUGGGAAACUGCCUGAUGGAGGGGGAUAACUACUGGAAACGGUAGCUAAUACCGCAUAACGUCGCAAGACCAAAGUGGGGGACCUUCGGGCCUCAUGCCAUCAGAUGUGCCCAGAUGGGAUUAGCUAGUAGGUGGGGUAAUGGCUCACCUAGGCGACGAUCCCUAGCUGGUCUGAGAGGAUGACCAGCCACACUGGAACUGAGACACGGUCCAGACUCCUACGGGAGGCAGCAGUGGGGAAUAUUGCACAAUGGGCGCAAGCCUGAUGCAGCCAUGCCGCAUGUAUGAAGAAGGCCUUCGGGUUGUAAAGUACUUUCAGCGAGGAGGAAGGCAUUAAGGUUAAUAACCUUAGUGAUUGACGUUACUCGCAGAAGAAGCACCGGCUAACUCCGUGCCAGCAGCCGCGGUAAUACGGAGGGUGCAAGCGUUAAUCGGAAUUACUGGGCGUAAAGCGCACGCAGGCGGUCUGUUAAGUCAGAUGUGAAAUCCCCGGGCUCAACCUGGGAACUGCAUUUGAAACUGGCAGGCUUGAGUCUCGUAGAGGGGGGGUAGAAUUCCAGGUGUAGCGGUGAAAUGCGUAGAGAUCUGGAGGAAUACCGGUGGCGAAAGCGGCCCCCUGCACGAAGACUGACGCUCAGGUGCGAAAGCGUGGGG
Molecule: ribosomal RNA, 771 nt
Filed under: uncultured bacterium
Lineage: Bacteria
Description: bacterial SSU rRNA
Rfam family: Bacterial small subunit ribosomal RNA
Source: RNAcentral